AUGUAUGUGUAUAUGUAUGUGAGUAUAUGUAUAAGUGUGUUUAAAUAUAUAUGUGUAUAUAUGUAUAUGUAUCUAUGUAUGUGCAUGUGUAUAUAUAUGUGUGUAUAUGCGUAUAUGUGGGUAUAUGUGUAUAAUAUCUAUAUAAUAAUAUAUACACAGCGUAUAACACAUAAUAUGUAGCGACUUCCGAAUAUUGGCGCGUAACGUCACGUUCACGUCGGGUAACGUUACGUCAUUUGUUUGUAUUUUUGUAUUUACUUCCGUUAUGAUCGACAGAAGAAAACGCUAUGUAAAGUUGUCAUAAUAAUCGUUUACUGAAGAAGGCCUUUGGUCGAAAUAUUUAAUAAAAGAUUCAGUCUUCGCUUGAUCAACUGUUUGUUGCGCGGGCGACACAGCUUUUAUAUUUACGGAACAAACCUCAUCCUUCGAUUGAGAUGCAGAAGGACGUAAUAAUGGACUAUACUUACGUCAAAAAUACAUUGACGCUUCCAAAACGUUAGAUCUACAAGGACCUCUUUAUCACAGUUUUAGUACCAUUAAUCGGUUCAUAUUAAACCAAGUGGAUGUGAAACUGAAAUUGUUUUGGAAUACACCAAUGUUUUGUUUAAAUUCAGCAGAUGAUGCUCCUGAUUAUAAAAUAGAGAUUCUUGAUAUAUACUUACUUGCUAGAAAAGUGCGUGUGAAUCCAUCGUUGAUCAUCGCUCAUGCUAGUGUUGAAGAACAGCACCGCUAAAUACCCAUAUAACAGACUUGAAUGUCGAUCGCAGAGCAUCGCUACUGGAAGUACAUUGUUUGCAUCGGAUAAUUUAUUUCAUGGUCAACAACCAAGUGAGGUUGUGGUAGCAUUCGUAAAAUCUAGAGCACUUUCUGGUGACUAUAAAUCGAAUCCGUUUCAUUUCUUAAAUUGUAACAUACAGAGUAUUUGUUUGUAUGUAGACGGUGUACCUGUAGGUGGUCGCCCAUUACAGCUUAAUUUCGAUUCUACUCAAGGACAGGCGUUUAUGAGAGCAUAUACAAAUUUAUUUACAGCAAAUGGUACGUGGAACAAAAGUGAAGGUAUUGAUAUCAGUAGAGAAGACUUUGCAAAUGCUUCUACCUUAUUUGCCUUUCAAAUAGAACCAAUAUUUUCAGAAAAUGCAUUAUUUUUAUCGCUUAUGGAAACAGGACAUAUAAGAUUCGAUAUACAGUUUAAACAAGCUCUUACUGAAACCAUCAGUUGUAUUGUAUAUAGCGAAUCACCAGGCUUUUUUCAAAUCAACAAGCAACGCGAUAUAAUCACAGACUAAUGAUUUGAAAAUGAUGUUUUUCAAUGUAUACUUUCAAUAUUUAUCAGUGUUUUUAAUUCAUAUGUAAAUAUGUAUAAUGGUGUUGUUUCAGAGACUUUUUGUAUCAAUUAUGUAAAUGUACUUUGCUUAAAUAUGUGUGUGUAUGUGUGCGUGUGUGUGCGCGUGUGCGUGUGCGUGUGCGUGUGUGCGUGCGUGCGUGCGUGCGUGCGUGCGUGCGUGCGUGCGUGCGUGCGUGUGUGUGUGUGUGUGUGUGUGUGUGUGUGUGUGUGUGUGUGUGUGUGUGUGUGUGUGUGUGUGUGUGUGUGUGUGUGUGUGUGUGUGUGUUGGUUUAUAUCACACAUCGAGGUACUUCAUAGAAGUACACAGCCACACUUCGAGGUACCAAAAAAUAGCGAGGUACUUUUCCCUAGACCUCGGUACGUGUACCUCGCCAACCGCUUGUAAAAACCAUUGUACACAAUUUCCGCUCGUUUCUACGGGUACCUCGGUAUAACGUUGUAGUACUGGUUUGUGUGUCAGAGUGUGACCCCACACACUUGACAUCCAUCUCAGAAGCUUUUUUGGUUCCCGUUUCGAAAACGAGCGCGCGCAGAUAAAUCUGGAAACCAGUUACUGACCUAUUUACCGAGUAGAUUGGUUACCUCCCCUUAUCUAUCGUUACUCCCUAUAUAGAGAGGACCUCGGUGAAUCGGUCAGCAACUGGUUUAGGUGAGUUACGAGCACACAGU
Molecule: long non-coding RNA, 2014 nt
Organism: Dreissena polymorpha
Lineage: Eukaryota; Metazoa; Mollusca; Bivalvia; Myida; Dreissenidae
Exons: 3
Source: RefSeq, a predicted model, not a curated record